GCUCGCUUGGUGGAAUUGGUAGACACGACAGACUUAAAAUCUGUUUCCAGCGAUGGAUUAUCGGUUCAAGUCCGAUAGCGAGUA
This 84-nucleotide transfer RNA is filed under the name Tsukubamonas globosa. Its description in RNAcentral is "tRNA-Leu". It matches the Rfam family "tRNA". Rfam says of the family: Transfer RNA (tRNA) molecules are approximately 80 nucleotides in length. Their secondary structure includes four short double-helical elements and three loops (D, anti-codon, and T loops). Lineage: Eukaryota; Tsukubea; Tsukubamonadida; Tsukubamonadidae. The record is from RNAcentral.